GGAAGGGCCAUAGCUCAGUGGCCGAGCAGCUGUUUUAAACACAGAAGGUUCCAUGUUCAAUCCCUGGCGUCUCUCCA
This is a non-coding RNA of Podarcis lilfordi (Lilford's wall lizard), 77 nucleotides long. Lineage: Eukaryota; Metazoa; Chordata; Lepidosauria; Squamata; Lacertidae. The record is from the annotation of a GenBank genome assembly.